AUCAAUAAGCGGAGGAAGAUUCCGUAGAAAACGGGGCGCCCCCGCCAGAGGACCCCCUAACUCUGUUUCUAUAAUGUUUCUUCUGAGUAAAACAAGCAAAUAAAUUAAAACUUUCAACAACGGAUCUCUUGGCUCUGGCAUCGAUGAAGAACGCAGCGAAAUGCGAUAAGUAAUGUGAAUUGCAGAAUUCAGUGAAUCAUCGAAUCUUUGAACGCACAUUGCGCCCGCCAGAUUCUGGCGGGCAUGCCUGUUCGAGCGUCAUUACAACCCUCAGGCCCCCGGGCCUGGCGUUGGGGAUCGGCGGAGGCCCUCCGUGGGCACACGCCGUCCCCCAAAUACAGUGGCGGUCCCGCCGCAGCUUCCAUCGCGUAGUAGCUAACACCUCGCGACUGGAGAGCGGCGCGGCCACGCCGUAAAACCCCCAACUCUUCUGAAGUUGACCUCGAAUCAGGUAGGAAUACCCGCUGAACUUAAGCAUA
This 479-nucleotide ribosomal RNA is filed under the name Fusarium solani. RNAcentral describes it as "eukaryotic LSU rRNA". The stretch from base 109 to 261 matches the Rfam family "5.8S ribosomal RNA". The record is from RNAcentral. Lineage: Eukaryota; Fungi; Ascomycota; Sordariomycetes; Hypocreales; Nectriaceae.